UAGGGAAUCUUCGGCAAUGGACGAAAGUCUGACCGAGCAACGCCGCGUGAGUGAAGAAGGUUUUCGGAUCGUAAAACUCUGUUGUUAGAGAAGAACAAGGACGUUAGUAACUGAACGUCCCCUGACGGUAUCUAACCAGAAAGCCACGGCUAACUACGUGCCAGCAGCCGCGGUAAUACGUAGGUGGCAAGCGUUGUCCGGAUUUAUUGGGCGUAAAGCGAGCGCAGGCGGUUUCUUAAGUCUGAUGUGAAAGCCCCCGGCUCAACCGGGGAGGGUCGUUGGAAACUGGGGGGCUUGAGUUCAGAAGAGGGGAGUGGAAUUCCAUGUGUAGCGGUGAAAUGCGUAGAUAUAUGGAGGAACACCAGUGGCGAAGGCGGCUCUCUGGUCUGUAACUGACGCUGAGGCUCGAAAGCGUGGGGAGCAAACAGG
Molecule: ribosomal RNA, 429 nt
Filed under: Gemmatimonadota bacterium
Lineage: Bacteria; Pseudomonadati; Gemmatimonadota
Description: Gemmatimonadetes bacterium partial 16S ribosomal RNA
Rfam family: Bacterial small subunit ribosomal RNA
Source: RNAcentral